GAAAAAUAUUAAUUUACGUUCAUUUCCUUUAUUUCAUUACAUGUUGAUUAUUGCAUAUAAUAGCAGUGUGUUAGUUUAUUUUUGUAAUUAUUUUGUUUAUCAAUUACCUAUCAAAAAAAUAUUUUAGUUUAUCAAUUAUCUAUCGCACAGGGUUCUAAUAUUUGAAAUUUUGCAGGAUAGAAUAUUAUCUGGACGACAUUAUCAAAUAGAUCCUUGGUAAAGUUACGUCAAACUGUAACUUUAUCAGUUUCUCUUUGGUAUUAAAUUUGCUGGAUGACGAGCAUGCGAACAUAUUACGACGAUCGUGCUUAUGGCCAUUGUAUUCGUUGCGUGAUGUACAGUGGUCGAGGCAGCUGCUCGUUACCCUACUAUGUCGGUUGCUAAAGCCAGUUGACGGAGAUGUCCUCCAUUUUGAUCUUGGGGGCAAGGUAGCGACGUUUUCCAUAUUUGAGUUUGCUCUCGUCACUAGACUAUGAUGUACGGAGAAAGAAGUGGCGAGAGCCCGUAUUCCGAGGAACAUGAGACUGUUGAAUGAAUAUUUUUGUGGAUAGACGACAGUUACUCUAGUGUAGUUGGGAGAUGCAUUAAGGAGAUGCGAUCAGAUGUCUAAUAGGCUAAACCUGGGCUUCGUGCUUAUCAUCGAUAGUAUACUCCGAUGUCAUCAUAAGAAGACUUCGAUUGACAUUUUCCAUUAGAAAGUUAUUGAUGAUUGUGUAGUUGGGAGAUGCAUUAAGGAGGGGGUUUUCGAUACUUAAAGGGGAUAAGCCCAAGCACAAGUACGAUGUAUAUGGACUGCAGUUGGUGCUGCAAGUACAUGUUUAAGUUAAUGAAUGACCUACGUUUUUUUAUUAAAUUCUAUAUAUAAUAAUUGUAAUUGUUGCAGAUAUGAGUGUAUGAAACUGUCCCCAUCUUGGCUAGUCGGUAUGGGAGGGGAGGAGAGGAGAGACACGCUACCCUCGGAUGCAUCACUGGGAAGCACAAGAUAAGCCACUUGCCAGACAGUUAUCGACCCUCCUCGACGAACCUGUGGUACAUAUUAUACAUUUGCGAUUUAUGUUGUAUGUCCUUUUACAAUCUCAAUACAUGGUCAUUAAUUAUAAAAUGUCAAAAUGUCAGCUUGAAAUUCUCACUGAGUUGGCACCGUCGAUCGAGGAGAAGAGUCAGCUUUAUAUUCGCGAAUUGUCUGUUCCGACUGCGCAUGACAAUCAGAUGCCUGAGUCUAGCGUGGAUUGAGAUAGGGUAUGUUACUGUGGAGGAUUUAUUGAAUAUCAUUUUGAUCUUGUAAUUAAGUGCUUCACUUGUAAUAUUUAUUUUUUCAGGAGAGUCUUUCAGUAUUACCUCCGUCGAGGAUGUCACCUCCGCUGAGAAGAUCACGUCCGGUUGUACCAGAGUUUCAGAUGUCCGAGUCACGCGUGGAUCGAAAUAGAGUAUGUUACUUAAAAAUAAUUUGUCGAUUGUCCUUUUGUUUUUUUAAUUAAAUUAUUAAUUUGUAAUAUUUAUUUUUUUAGGAGGGCCGUUCAGUAUCACCUUCUGCACCUAGUCAUUGUGUUUCGACGAUUGAUUUGUUCGAACUCCUGACGGAGAAGAGAGGAGACAUGGCAUUGUUACGAGAUGAUGUCGCGAUGCUACGUGCCGGGUUAGAAGACCUUCAUGCUGAGAUUGCAGCGAUACAAGGCGACAUAGUAGGCCUGCGGGGGACAGGCGACUAUCGGGAUGGAGGAGAUGGCGGAGGGAUUGGUGGCUAUCAGGACGGAGGAGGUAACGGAGGGACUAGCGGCUAUUGGGACGGAGGGGGCGAUGGAUGGGUUGGCGGCUAUCAUGACGAGGGUCGGUGGUUAUCAGGGGGAGGAGGUCAGAUGGGGUAUGUUAAGUCAUCGUGGCCAUCGGUAGCUGCAUUCGAUUCAUUUUUAAAUGACACGAUGGAUGGAGGAGCGAGAGGGGAUACCCAAGGCGGAGGGGGUACCCAAGAGGACGAUACUCGAGGAGGAGAGAGUGCCCGUGCUGGGGAUAUCCGGGGAUGUUGAAGGGUAUCGGAGGUGGAGGUGGUACCCAAGAGGACGCCAGACUCGCCGGACAUAGUUUUUAUGUCUGAGGAGGUGGUCCUGAUAGUGGACGAGGGAAUGGUCUCGAUGCCGGGGAGAUGGAGAUCCCCGAGAUGGAGGAGGAGAUAAUGCGUGCUGUUGACGUGCCGAAGCUGGUGGUUGGCAAGAGACAAAUGGUACCAUCACAGUACGUCGUUUCUCUCUUUACUGUGGAGGUUAAGAGGAGGAGGUUCGUCGACGGGACAUACCCAAUUUAUUCAGGGAGGUGGACCACGCUAAGUGGAAAGCCUUCGAGACGGAGAGGAGAGCAAUUAGGCUCGGAUAAGUAUUGUAUUUUAUAGAAUUAGUACAGUACGCAGACCUUGACAUAUGUAUACUUCUUGUAACUAAAAUUUCUGUUCUUAUUUUUUUAGGGCCAGUCGCACAAUUGCUCAUAAAACGAUCUCAAACGUUUAUAAGUGGUUCCACGACAUCACCACUUCGUAGGCUUGGCUCGUCGAUGAUGUAAGCGAAAACAAAAUAUUGUUAUUUAUUAUGUAAUGUUCAAUUUUGAUCUUUGAAUCAAAUUCAUGGAAUGACUCAUUUUUUUAUUGGUGAUUCUUGAUGUAGCACAUCAACUUGGCCAAGGAUUUGCUACGAUAUUGAGCUGAAAGACAUCCAAAAUCGUUCAACAUUCUUGGUCGACUCAUAUUGAACACCAAGUUCAUCCGUGCUGUUAACAUUAAGUACCAAUCGCUCCAAACUAUAGGUAACGAGUACACAGUGCUAACAAAUAUGAUGGAAUGGAUCGUAGGGAUGUGACCGAGUGUCGGAGGAAAGUCAUAGGAGGGCUGUAUGCAUUUGUACAUGCUAGUGUGUGUGAAUCAUCACGACAUUGUAAUGGAGAACGUAUUCGCCGACUCCACUACGUAUGUACACAACCUCAAUCAUUCAUGCCUGACACAAAGUCAACUCGAGUGGAAUCUAGAGUCUGUGUCUGUGAUCAUUUCCAUGAUGGCUAGAUGAGAAAACAUCACUUUACAGGACAAACUAACCAUCAUGCGGGACACGAUAACGGCAAGGCAACAAAUAUCGUAAGUGUUUGUAAUUUUAUUUUUUUUUAAUUUACAACUUAAUACAAUAUUUUUUAAUUGUAGGGGUGAUUGCGGAAUGUUCUUCAUCAAGUACGGAUAAUUUUUUAGUGUAACAUAUAAUAUUGAUGCAAUCAACCAGGUAUGGAUACAAAAUUGGAGAAUAAAUUAGCAUGUGAUUUAUUUAAAUUUAAUGGUGAUCCGUAAAUA
This 3322-nucleotide long non-coding RNA is filed under the name Olea europaea subsp. europaea. The record is from RNAcentral. Lineage: Eukaryota; Viridiplantae; Streptophyta; Magnoliopsida; Lamiales; Oleaceae.